This 434-nucleotide ribosomal RNA is filed under the name uncultured bacterium. RNAcentral describes it as "partial 16S ribosomal RNA". It matches the Rfam family "Bacterial small subunit ribosomal RNA", at positions 29 to 507 of the family's 1533-position model. The record is from RNAcentral.
AGCGAACGCUGGCGGCAGGCCUAACACAUGCAAGUCGAACGAACCUUUCGGGGUUAGUGGCGGACGGGUGAGUAACACGUGGGAACGUGCCUUUAGGUUCGGAAUAACUCAGGGAAACUUGUGCUAAUACCGAAUGUGCCCUUCGGGGGAAAGAUUAAUCGCCUUUAGAGCGGCCCGCGUCUGAUUAGCUAGUUGGUUGAGGUAAUGGCUCACCCAGGCGACGAUCAGUAGCUGGUCUGAGAGGAUGAUCAGCCACAUUGGGACUGAGACACGGCCCAAACUCCUACGGGAGGCAGGAGUGGGGAAUCGUGCGAAAUGGGCGAAAGCCUGACGCAGCCAGGCCGGGUGAAUGAUGAAGGUCUUAGGAUUGUAAAAUUCUUUCACCGGGGACGAUAAUGACGGUACCCGGAGAAGAAGCCCCGGCUAACUUCGUG